GACGAACGCUGGCGGCGCGCCUAACACAUGCAAGUCGAACGAGCGAGAGAGAGCUUGCUUUCUCAAGCGAGUGGCGAACGGGUGAGUAACGCGUGAGGAACCUGCCUCAAAGAGGGGGACAACAGUUGGAAACGACUGCUAAUACCGCAUAAGCCCACGGCUCGGCAUCGAGCAGAGGGAAAAGGAGCAAUCCGCUUUGAGAUGGCCUCGCGUCCGAUUAGCUAGUUGGUGAGGUAAUGGCCCACCAAGGCGACGAUCGGUAGCCGGACUGAGAGGUUGAACGGCCACAUUGGGACUGAGACACGGCCCAGACUCCUACGGGAGGCAGCAGUGGGGAAUAUUGCACAAUGGGGGAAACCCUGAUGCAGCGACGCCGCGUGGAGGAAGAAGGUCUUCGGAUUGUAAACUCCUGUUGUUGAGGAAGAUAAUGACGGUACUCAACAAGGAAGUGACGGCUAACUACGUGCCAGCAGCCGCGGUAAAACGUAGGUCACAAGCGUUGUCCGGAAUUACUGGGUGUAAAGGGAGCGCAGGCGGGAAGACAAGUUGGAAGUGAAAUCCAUGGGCUCAACCCAUGAACUGCUUUCAAAACUGUUUUUCUUGAGUAGUGCAGAGGUAGGCGGAAUUCCCGGUGUAGCGGUGGAAUGCGUAGAUAUCGGGAGGAACACCAGUGGCGAAGGCGGCCUACUGGGCACCAACUGACGCUGAGGCUCGAAAGUGUGGGUAGCAAACAGGAUUAGAUACCCUGGUAGUCCACACUGUAAACGAUGAUUACUAGGUGUUGGAGGAUUGACCCCUUCAGUGCCGCAGUUAACACAAUAAGUAAUCCACCUGGGGAGUACGACCGCAAGGUUGAAACUCAAAGGAAUUGACGGGGGCCCGCACAAGCAGUGGAGUAUGUGGUUUAAUUCGACGCAACGCGAAGAACCUUACCAAGUCUUGACAUCCUGCGACGCACAUAGAAAUAUGUGUUUCCUUCGGGACGCAGAGACAGGUGGUGCAUGGUUGUCGUCAGCUCGUGUCGUGAGAUGUUGGGUUAAGUCCCGCAACGAGCGCAACCCUUAUGGUCAGUUACUACGCAAGAGGACUCUGGCCAGACUGCCGUUGACAAAACGGAGGAAGGUGGGGAUGACGUCAAAUCAUCAUGCCCUUUAUGACUUGGGCUACACACGUACUACAAUGGCGUUAAACAAAGAGAAGCAAGACCGCGAGGUGGAGCAAAACUCAGAAACAACGUCCCAGUUCGGACUGCAGGCUGCAACUCGCCUGCACGAAGUCGGAAUUGCUAGUAAUCGCAGAUCAGCAUGCUGCGGUGAAUACGUUCCCGGGCCUU
Molecule: ribosomal RNA, 1333 nt
Filed under: uncultured bacterium
Lineage: Bacteria
Description: bacterial SSU rRNA
Rfam family: Bacterial small subunit ribosomal RNA
Source: RNAcentral